GCGCUCUCCCUUCUGUCCUCUCCCCUCUGCCUUCUCCCUCUCCCCUCUCCCCUGUCGCCUCUGCCCUGCUCCCUUCUCUGUCCUGGGCUUCUGCCCCCCUCACCGCUCUCUGCAUCCACUCCAGCUUUUCCCCCCUUCACUUUCUCCAAACAGUGAUUUUUUGAAACUAAUAUCAACAAGAUCAGGACAACUGCAAUCACUUUACCCGACUUGUCAGUUUCCUAUUUAGAAAAUUCAGACUAUGGAGUGGAAUUGGCUCCUCAUGGGACCCAUGUGUGAUGCCCUGAAAUGCUGAUGUAUGUGUGUCUUCUCCAAAUUCUGCCGAGUUGAGCUGAGUGUCCGCUGGCUAUGCUUGCACGCGCUGUCUGCAGGGGCAUGCUUGGGAAGCCAGCUUAGUGUGCUGGACCUUCUCUUGCGUGGUUAGUUGUAAAACUUGAUGCUUCUGCAGGCAGAUGAUGGCAGAAAGCUCCCACCCCACCACGCUGAUGACGGCAGAAAGCUCCCGCCCCACCACGCUGAUGACGGCAGAAAGCUCCCGCCCCACCACGCUGAUGAUGGCACUCUCGUUGGGUGGUUGUGUGGUCUUCAUACAAUUUCAGGGUAAAUCGCCACUUGAUGUCAUUGCUAAAUGGGAUACCUGAGCUAUGAUGAUUUUGCCUGAUUGUUAAAGUUAGUAUUUUAAGACCAAAGAUGGACAAAAUACGUUAAAAUUGUCUGUAAAAAGGCACAUUUCUGAAUUUGCUUUUAAUACUUUAAAAGAUAUAAAGCUGUUGUAUUAUAACAGGAAGGAUUGCUACAAGAACAGAUCUGUCAGAAAACAAAACCGCAUCUUGAAUUGAAAUGGAAAAUGAAAUUUAGCUACACUUCGUA
Long non-coding RNA from Homo sapiens (human), 870 nucleotides. Ensembl annotates it as long intergenic non-protein coding RNA 1865. NCBI's taxonomy places the organism in Eukaryota, Metazoa, Chordata, Mammalia, Primates, Hominidae. The record is from Ensembl.